RNAcentral lists this ribosomal RNA (434 nucleotides) under uncultured bacterium. Its description in RNAcentral is "bacterial SSU rRNA". It matches the Rfam family "Bacterial small subunit ribosomal RNA", at positions 958 to 1392 of the family's 1533-position model. The record is from RNAcentral.
AACGCGAAGAACCUUACCAGGUCUUGACAUCCCCCUGACCGGUCCGUAACGGGACCCUUCCUACGGGACAGGGGAGACAGGUGGUGCAUGGUUGUCGUCAGCUCGUGUCGUGAGAUGUUGGGUUAAGUCCCGCAACGAGCGCAACCCUUAUCUUCAGUAGCCAGCAUUUCGGGUGGGCACUCUGGAGAGACUGCCAGGGAUAACCUGGAGGAAGGCGGGGAUGACGUCAAAUCAUCAUGCCCCUUAUGAUCUGGGCUACACACGUGCUACAAUGGUGACAACAAAGGGAGGCAGCCUCGUGAGAGUGAGCAAAUCCCAAAAAAGUCAUCUCAGUUCGGAUUGUAAUCUGCAACUCGACUACAUGAAGCUGGAAUCGCUAGUAAUCGCAAAUCAGAAUGUUGCGGUGAAUACGUUCCCGGGUCUUGUACACACCG